RNAcentral lists this ribosomal RNA (229 nucleotides) under uncultured eukaryote. Its description in RNAcentral is "partial small subunit ribosomal RNA". It matches the Rfam family "Eukaryotic small subunit ribosomal RNA", at positions 1208 to 1456 of the family's 1831-position model. The record is from RNAcentral.
GGAAAACUUACCAGGUCCAGACAUAGUGAGGAUUGACAGAUUGAGAGCUCUUUCUUGAUUCUAUGGGAGGUGGUGCAUGGCCGUUCUUAGUUGGUGGAGUGAUUUGUCUGGUUAAUUCCGUUAACGAACGAGACCCCCGCCUGCUAAAUAGGUCCGUGAAUGAAUUUCAUUGACGAGAUCUUCUUAGAGGGACUUUUGGUGGCUAACCAAAGGAAGUUGGGGGCAAUAA